UUAAAGGAAAAGCGGCGGCGUCACGUGAGCGAGAGCGCCAGCCUCGGGCUUAAAGUGGCACCGUUGCUCUGUUCCUGUAAAAUUGGGAACCGAACACUUUCUCUGACUCUAAUGGCUUUGUUUUUCAGAAGUGAAAUAGGACCUUGGCCGCUGUGGCGAUUUCUGGUACAUUCUGUGCCUGGAAGUUUAAAAUCAGGCCCAAAGGAAGUGAGGUAUCGCUAGCUUUCAAAGUGUUACUAUUGGAUCCUCCCCCAUUCUGGACCACCACUGGUGUCCAAAUGGCUCAGAAGGUGGGCUCACAGCGCCCUCUAGUGUCACAGAGCCAGUCAGCCCUAAAAAGAAGGCGAGAGGCCCCCAGAGGUGGCGCCCAGGAUUGCCACCCAGAUCAUGACCAUCUCCACUAGCAGGGGGACACACUUGCUUCCAAUCAUCACCCUGGGGGCAAGCCGCCUGGUCUUGCUCAAUCAUCUUACGAUCGGUGUGCAGUGAGGCAGCUGUGGCCACAGAAGAGCUUUUGUCUAUACAGAGCCAACUGGCCAAGAAAGAUGGCCAGCACAUUAGGUUGACAUCAGCAGACAUCUGUCAGUUGUGACCUCAUUAGCACCACGCUCUUGGCCCUCCAACUAGCCUUAGAGGAAGUGGAAGGAAAAUGAGAUCAGGAUCAGGUAUUCAGCUAAGUCAAGAUCAGAGCCUAAGGAAAGAAUUAC
This is a long non-coding RNA of Talpa occidentalis (Iberian mole), 707 nucleotides long. RefSeq lists it as uncharacterized. The transcript has 3 exons. The record is from RefSeq and is a predicted model, not a curated record. Lineage: Eukaryota; Metazoa; Chordata; Mammalia; Eulipotyphla; Talpidae.